UGAGGAAUAUUGGUCAAUGGACGCAAGUCUGAACCAGCCAUGCCGCGUGAAGGAUGAAGGCCUUCUGGGUUGUAAACUUCUUUUAUCUGGGAAGAAACCUCCGAUUUCUAUUGGAGCCGACGGUACCAGAGGAAUAAGCACCGGCUAACUCCGUGCCAGCAGCCGCGGUAAUACGGAGGGUGCAAGCGUUAUCCGGAUUCACUGGGUUUAAAGGGUGUGUAGGCGGGUAAUUAAGUCAGUGGUGAAAUCUCCGAGCUCAACUUGGAAACUGCCAUUGAUACUAUUUAUCUUGAAUUCUGUUGAGGUGGGCGGAAUAUGUCAUGUAGCGGUGAAAUGCAUAGAUAUGACAUAGAACACCAAUUGCGAAGGCAGCUCGCUAAACAGAUAUUGACGCUGAGGCACGAAAGCGUGGGGAUCAAACAGG
This 424-nucleotide ribosomal RNA is filed under the name uncultured bacterium. Its description in RNAcentral is "bacterial SSU rRNA". It matches the Rfam family "Bacterial small subunit ribosomal RNA", at positions 355 to 776 of the family's 1533-position model. The record is from RNAcentral.